Molecule: RNA transcript, 2576 nt
Organism: Hippopotamus amphibius kiboko
Lineage: Eukaryota; Metazoa; Chordata; Mammalia; Artiodactyla; Hippopotamidae
Gene: IL20RB
Gene name: interleukin 20 receptor subunit beta
Exons: 8
Source: RefSeq, a predicted model, not a curated record
CCUCUUCUGAGCUGUCUGGGCUGGCUCCUCUUUCCAAAACAAUUCAGGUUUGACAGCGACUCAGACUCAGCUCCAACUUUUGCAUUCUGAAGCAAGGGUGGCUGAGAUGGAAAGAGCGCUUCGUUCUGGAAGGAAGCAACGUUCCAGGUCAAGCUGAGCCUGCCAAACACAGACCCUUACGAUGGUUUUAGAAGAAAUCAAGACAAGUCUUAUCACGUGGUUUUCCUACGCCUUGAUUCCUUGUUUGCUUGUGGAUGGAGUGGCUGUUCUGCCUGCCCCUCAGAACCUCUCUGUACAAUCGACCAAUAUGAAGCAUGUCUUGACAUGGAGCCCAGUGAUCGUGCCUGAAGAAAUAAUAUACUAUUCUGUCGAGUACCAGGGAGAGUACGAGAGCCUGUACAUGAGCCACAUCUGGAUUCCCAGCAGCUGGUGCUCGCCCACCCAAGGGCCCGAGUGUGACAUCACUGAUGACAUCACUGCCACUGUGCCGUACAAUCUCCGGGUCAGGGCCACCCUGGGCUCACAGACCUCAGCCUGGAGCACCCUGAAGCACCCCUUUAACCGAAACUCAACCAUCCUCACCCCACCUGGGAUGGAGAUCACCAAGGAUGGCUUCCACCUGGUUAUUAAGCUGGAAGACCUGGGUCCCCAGUUUGAGUUCUUUGUGGCCUUCUGGAGGAGGGAGCCCAGUGCCAAGGAACACGUCAAGCGGGUGAGGCUCCGGGGCAUCCCAGUGCACCUGGAAACCAUGGAGCCCGGGGCCACAUACUGCGUGAAGGCCCGGACGUUCGUGAAGGCCAUCGGAAGGCAGAGCGCCUUCAGCCAGACGGAAUGUGUCAAGGUGCAGGGAGAGACCCUGCCGCUGGCGCUGGCCCUGUUUGCAUUCGUGGGCUUCAUGCUGAUCCUCGUGGUUGUACCGCUCUCCGUCUGGAAGAUGGGCCGGCUGCUCCGGCACUCCUGUUGCCCCGUGGUGAUGCUCCCCGACACCUUGAUUUUAACAUGGACAAUUUCUCUGAGUAUAUGUAUUUCCCACAGUGCUGUGUAAGAAACAGUUCGCUAGUGUCCAUCAAAGCCUGAGCAGGUUCUGGAACUGCACGUCACCACCACCAUCUCCCUGCUCUCAGCCUUGACUUUAGUACAGCAUGGCUGUACUUCAGCAUUUGCAUUUAUAGAUAAUCCUCCAAACUAUUAAAAAGCAACUGCCAGCCAACCUUGCAAAAUCCAUGCAUCUUUCCAGUUAAACCAUGGGAAAUUACCAAGUGGAAAUCCUUGACAAGGCUUCAAAAAGUCCUGUUGAGUUUAAAAUAACCAGUUCACCCCAGAAGCUAAUCAGCUGCAGAAGGGAAGAGGUGGAAGCCUGUGUGGCAGCUGAGCUGUCUUCUGAGGGGCUCCUCAGGGCCUGGAUCUAGCAGAUGAAGCUGAGGAACCUGGUUUGCAGGACACGGGAGCCGUGAGAGGAAAGGCCAUGCUUCUGUCUUCCUCCAAGGACAAAGGACAAGAGAAGAAGAGCCUGCUGUGUCCAUGUCUAGAAGCAACUGUCAGAAGCAGAGUGGUGUGGCCCAUGGAGCGCUGAGAGGGGGUCGGGGAUGUGACCUCCAGCACUGGAUCUCUCUGCUGUCCACUAGUGGGAUGACCCUGGGGAAAGUGACUUAGUCUCUCUGUCCCUCAGUUUUCGCAUCUAUACAAUGGGGGGAUUAACCACACAACCAUUAAAACAUAUAUAUAUUCAUAUCAUCUUUCCACCACUUGCAGAGCUAUAGGGAAAUUGGCAACACUGUAUAGGUUCUGCUUCUCUGAAGAGCAGUAGAUACACAUGUAACAAGAAUAAUUGGAUGGGCCUUGCCUGGUGGUGCAGUGGUUAAGAAUCUGCCUGCCAAAGCAGAGGACAUGGGUUCGAUCCCUGGGCCGGGAAGAUCCCAUGUGCUGUGGAGCAAUUAAGCCUGUGCGCCACAACUACUGAGCCUGCACUCUAGGGCCCGCUUGCUACAACUACUGAGCCUGCAUGCUGCAACCACUGAAGCCUGUGCACCUAGAGGCUGUGCUCUGCAACAAGAGAAGCCACCGCACUGAGAAGCCGGUGUACCACAAUGAAGAGUAGCCCCUGCUUGCCACUAGAGAAAAGCCCGGGUGCAGUAACGAAGACCCAAACGCAGCCAAAAAAAAAAAAGUAAUUAAAAAAAAAAAAAGAAUAAUCCUAUACACCCACUGGCCUGGAGAGGCCUAGAGAUCCCACUUGCCUAGAGGAAACCUGAAGAGGAAAGGUACAACGGGGUUGAUUUCACUUCAAGCCAAAUGACUGAACUGCUCAGCUAGCUCUACAAUCCAUGACCUGGGAGGCCACAGCCCCACUGAAAAUGGGUGAAAAUGGGCCGCGCACGGAUGUUGCAGGCAUGUGAAAUGCUGUGCAAGGUAAAUAGUGUGUGUGUGCACCCUGAGGACAGCAGCUACAGUGCAUGUACAUGACCAGAUGAGGCUGUGGAAGGAUGUUGAUCAGAAGUGUGAUGUUUGCUGUGUUCCUUUUUCCUGUACAGUUGUUACAGUACAGAAUGAAAAAUAAAAAGGGUCACCUUCGGUAA